Mycena epipterygia is the source of this 94-nucleotide non-coding RNA. The record is from the annotation of a GenBank genome assembly. Lineage: Eukaryota; Fungi; Basidiomycota; Agaricomycetes; Agaricales; Mycenaceae.
GUGCCAGUGGUGUAGUGGGAACACAUAACCUUCAUCUCAGUGAAUCGAUCAAGACUUCAAGGUUGGGUCCUGGGUUCGAACCCCGGCCGGCACA